Molecule: ribosomal RNA, 436 nt
Filed under: uncultured Pseudomonadota bacterium
Lineage: Bacteria; Pseudomonadati; Pseudomonadota
Description: bacterial SSU rRNA
Rfam family: Bacterial small subunit ribosomal RNA
Source: RNAcentral
GCUUAACACAUGCAAGUCGAGCGGGCGUAGCAAUACGUCAGCGGCAGACGGGUGAGUAACGCGUGGGAACGUACCUUUUGGUUCGGAACAACCCAGGGAAACUUGUGCUAAUACCGGAUAAGCCCUUCGGGGGAAAGAUUUAUCGUCGAAAGAUCGGCCCGCGUCUGAUUAGCUAGUUGGAGGGGUAAUGGCCCACCAAGGCGACGAUCAGUAGCUGGUCUGAGAGGAUGAUCAGCCUCACUGGGACUGAGACACGGCCCAGACUCCUACGGGAGGCAGCAGUGGGGAAUAUUGGACAAUGGGCGCAAGCCUGAUCCAGCCAUGCCGCGUGGGUGAUGAAGGCCCUAGGGUUGUAAAGCCCUUUCGGCGGGGAAGAUAAUGACGGUACCCGCAGAAGAAGCCCCGGCUAACUUCGUGCCAGCAGCCGCGGUAAUAC